CAUCAUGAUUCCUAGACACGACUCUACAUGCAUGCAUGAGACAGACUCUUCAAGUAUUAAAAGAUCAUAACAUCAUCAACAAAACAAAAUCAUAAAUUCGGACUCUUCCUAUUAUGCACGACAUCAAGACAAACACAUCAUCGUCAUUCACAUCAUCAUCAUAAGUCAACAUCGUCAUUCUCAUCAUCAAUGUAUAUUAGACACCAUCAUUCAAGUCAUCAUCAUAAUUAUACGUCGUCAUUCUCAUAGUCAAUAUAUAUAUNNN
RNAcentral lists this long non-coding RNA (265 nucleotides) under Medicago truncatula (barrel medic). RNAcentral describes it as "long non-coding RNA (MTRU_LNC007358)". The record is from RNAcentral. Lineage: Eukaryota; Viridiplantae; Streptophyta; Magnoliopsida; Fabales; Fabaceae.